Molecule: long non-coding RNA, 406 nt
Organism: Solea senegalensis (Senegalese sole)
Lineage: Eukaryota; Metazoa; Chordata; Actinopteri; Pleuronectiformes; Soleidae
Exons: 3
Source: RefSeq, a predicted model, not a curated record
UUCUUCUUCUUGUUCUACCUCUACCACUGUUGCAGCAAUGAAGAAGAGGAAGAGAGGAAAUGACUCCCAGUUAAAAAAGGAGGGGCUUAAGAAGAAAAAGGGUUGUCGAAAAUGUAGUAGACAGAAAAUAUUCCAGUUUGGCUCAAUUUCUGGGAGAAGGAUACAUGAGUGGCAAAACCUGGGAUGACACAUGGGAGCCUGCAAACACAUUUGCACAACAACACCACACUGUCACCCCUGAGUCUCCUCCUCCUUCUGGUUCUGGUUCAGCUGAACCUAACUGGUUGGGCUCUACUCACAGCAGGGGAAAAGAGACAAUCGACAGAAAUGACUGACACUGAGCUCAAAUCAAAUACUGUGCUGCAACACGUGUCUUUUGUGUUUAUUGAAGGAAUGUGUUCAUGGA